This 323-nucleotide unclassified non-coding RNA is filed under the name soil metagenome. RNAcentral's name for it is "partial contains 5.8S ribosomal RNA, internal transcribed spacer 2, and large subunit ribosomal RNA". The stretch from base 1 to 120 matches the Rfam family "5.8S ribosomal RNA", at positions 35 to 154 of the family's 154-position model. The record is from RNAcentral.
GAUGAAGAACGUAGCGAAAUGCGAUAAGUAAUGCGAAUUGCAGAAUUCAGUGAGUCAUCGAAUCUUUGAACGCACAUUGCGCCCUGUGGUAUUCCGCAGGGCAUGCCUGUUCGAGCGUCAUUUCUACCCUCAAGCUCUGCUUGGUGUUGGGCCCCGCCCGCUCGCGGCCGGCCCUAAAGACAGUGGCGGCAGCGCCUGGCUCCAAGCGUAGUACAGCUCUCGCUCUGGGGCUAGGCGGUAGCCUGCCAGAACCCCCCUUCUAUGGUUGACCUCGGAUCAGGUAGGGAUACCCGCUGAACUUAAGCAUAUCAAUAAGCGGAGGA